This is a non-coding RNA of Daucus carota subsp. sativus, 73 nucleotides long. The record is from Rfam. Lineage: Eukaryota; Viridiplantae; Streptophyta; Magnoliopsida; Apiales; Apiaceae.
UCCGGUGAUGGCAUGAAAUAAUCUUUGAGACCUGAUUCUUAUUGAUGACAACCUUAAGCAUGUUGCUGAGGAU